ACUCCUACGGGAGGCAGCAGUGGGGAAUAUUGCACAAUGGGCGCAAGCCUGAUGCAGCCAUGCCGCGUGUGUGAAGAAGGCCUUCGGGUUGUAAAAGCACUUUCAGUUGUGAGGAAAGGGUUAGUCGCUAAUAUCGGGUCUAGCUGUGACGUUAGCAACAGAAGAAGCACCGGCUAACUCCGUGCCAGCAGCCGCGGUAAUACGGAGGGUGCGAGCGUUAAUCGGAAUUACUGGGCGUAAAGCGCGUGUAGGUGGCUUUGUUAAGCCAGAUGUGAAAGCCCC
Molecule: ribosomal RNA, 282 nt
Filed under: uncultured bacterium
Lineage: Bacteria
Description: partial 16S ribosomal RNA
Rfam family: Bacterial small subunit ribosomal RNA
Source: RNAcentral